This is a long non-coding RNA of Anolis carolinensis (green anole), 1907 nucleotides long. The record is from Ensembl. Lineage: Eukaryota; Metazoa; Chordata; Lepidosauria; Squamata; Anolidae.
CUAGCCAGUAGGGAAGCAAAUACAUUUUGAAUUUUCACAGGUGGCUGGAAUGGGGAGAUUCAGAAAGUAUCAUUGGAAGGAGCAGUUUCUGCUGAUUUCUAUAUUAGCAUCUUGCUGUUCUUCACUAAACGACUUUAUCCGGUGGUAUCAAGGUCAAGAAUAACAUAAUUGCAGAAGCUUUGCCUCCUUGCACUGAAUAUGAAACGGUCCUUGGGAGCCUUCCGAAAUUUAUAAAACUAAAAUAAAAAAGUAUGCGGAUACUGCUCCAUCAUGUUUUUUCAAAGUAUACUGCUGCAUCUCUCUUCCUCUGCUUCAAUGGAUCUCAAAUUUUGUUCCUACAUAUGCUCCCAGAAUCCCUGACUAUUGUCCAAGCUGACUGGAGCUGCUGGGAAUUAAAGUCUAAAACAUCUGGAAAGCUAGCAUUUGACAAAGUUUGAUCUACCCACAUAGAUUACAUGGUUAUAUACUUCACUGAUGGUGUAUCUUUUUUGUGCCUGUCUAAUCAGCUUGGAGUGCCACUACAUACCCCUAAGUAUGUGGGCCAAAUACCAAUUUUGUCAUGAGCCACAAGAGAGCAACCAUGGAAGAAACUACAACAUUACUACUCUAGGUAAUAUGUAAUGACAGUCCUAGAAGUAGACUGAACUAUAAAUCAUAGCUAAUAGAUUAAUACAUUUUAAGGUUAUAUUGCUAGAGGCUUUGCUCACCAGUUCAUAAUCUUACAUUGUCUAAAUUUAAUAAAAUUAAGAAUGUGCGCAUUUCUUGGUCUUUAAUCAUGUAUAUUCUAUUAUAACAUUUGUCCUGCUGGAGACUCACUUGGAUGUUUCCCCACCUUAUCCAUUCUCUUUCUCCCUCACUACUUUCCUUUCCUGGAUUCCCGGGGUGCUGUAUUGCUGGAUUUCUUUGUGAUUUCAUUGAAGCAAUAUGUCAACCCCCUUGACUGAAAAAAGUUUUUUUUUAUUAAGCUGAGUCUGGAUACCAAAAAUAAAGAAAUAUGUCUAAUUUCCUCUUUUGUUAAGUUCCAGCAUUCAUCUGUAGGAGAACCUCUUUUUAUUAUAAUUUGGUUUUGUAUAGAAUGGAAGGGAGAUAUGUUUUCAUUUAAGUCAGAUGCAGAAUAAAAUUAUCAUAAGGCAAACUAAUACGACCUAAAAGGGCCAAAAGGCUUCUCUAAAACUUGAUAAAUGGAAGGGCUAAAUUCUCAUUCAUGGGCAAUUGCUACUCUACAAAUUGCUGUAAAAUGUGGGUAAAAAUCAGUGGUGAACUGGAUGAUAAAUAUGGCUGCCAGAAUAUAACAGGGACACACUCACAACUAUAAGGCAGGAGUAUUGUGUGGUUUCCAGGCUGUAUAGCCGUGUUCUAACAGCAUUUUCUAGAACACGGCCAUACAGCCCGGAAACCUGUUAAUGUAAGAUUAAUGUAAUGUGAAUGUUUAAAUGUAAUUUUGUACAAUGCUUGUGAAUGUAACCUGAUUGCAUUAGAAGAGAGUGUAUUGACACUGAAAGGGUUAAUCAGUCAAGCCUCUAAUGAACUGUGAAGAUGUGACCCUGAGUGUGCCUGGAACGCAUAGGGAGGAUUCAGAGAUAAGAUUUAAGAUUUCAUUGGUUCCUUUUACUUCAGUGUCUUUUGUCUUGUUUUCUGUCUGUUUGGUUGGAUGUCAAUGCUAGUGUGUGCUGGAUAUUUGCUCUUCUCAGUAAAGCUAUAUGUUUGCUUUUACUGAAGUCUCAAAGUGUCCAUUCUUCUGUGCUCCAAACCUUCAAAGCUUCUGUCACAGUCUGACAAAACCAUGCAACAGUGAUUCCAACUGGGAAAGCCUUCAACAACACAACUAUAAGACUAUAAUUUAAUUUUUAUAAGAAAUUAGCUUAGGUAGCUGGCAAUGCCUGGGUUACAUAUUUAGUAAUUUAUAA